UACGAAGGGUCCAAGCGUUAUCCGGAUUUAUUGGGUUUAAAGGGUGCGUAGGCGGCUUAUUAAGUCAGUGGUGAAAGCCUUCAGCUUAACUGAAGAACUGCCAUUGAUACUGAUGAGCUUGAGUAUAGUUGAGGUUGGCGGAAUGUGUCAUGUAGCGGUGAAAUGCUUAGAUAUGACACAGAACACCGAUUGCGAAGGCAGCUAGCUAAGCUAUAACUGACGCUGAUGCACGAAAGCGUGGGGAGCAAACAGGAUUAGAAACCCCCGUAGUCC
RNAcentral lists this ribosomal RNA (273 nucleotides) under uncultured bacterium. Its description in RNAcentral is "partial 16S ribosomal RNA". It matches the Rfam family "Bacterial small subunit ribosomal RNA", at positions 524 to 796 of the family's 1533-position model. The record is from RNAcentral.